Molecule: long non-coding RNA, 554 nt
Organism: Hippoglossus stenolepis (Pacific halibut)
Lineage: Eukaryota; Metazoa; Chordata; Actinopteri; Pleuronectiformes; Pleuronectidae
Exons: 6
Source: RefSeq, a predicted model, not a curated record
AUCCUCCCUUCACGCUGAGAGCUCCAGGAGACAGAAACUGAGUGAAGGGAGGAAAAAUCCUCUCCUGUCUCCUCGUCCUCUUUCCUUCUUUGUCUUCUUCUUUUUCUUUCUCUUCUUCCCCUCUGAGGUUUUCCAGAGUCGGAUGAGAGAUGGGAUGUGGGAACUCCUCCCCGGCACCGACCACCGGCAGCAGCAACAACAACGGCAGCAGCGUCAGCAGUGGAGGUCGAGCUGAGACUCCGACCAAAGUAUCAAAUGACUUGCCUGAAGAUGAAAAACGAAAAAACUAUGGAGGUGUGUAUGUGGGUUUACCGACAGACAUGAGCAACAUCCCUCAAGUACAGAUCGGAGCGCUAAGAGAGGCGGAGGGAGACCUGUCGUCCCUCAGGAGACCGCUGUGGGGGAACGGAUUCUAAUGAAGAGCCAGGGUGCGACAUGCAAGUGAUGGAGGGAUGACGUCUGUCGCUGGAGAAGAAGAAGCAGAUGAAUCCCUGCAGGCGUCUUUCACACCCUCAGUCUCAUCAGGAGUCUCACAUGUGAACCAGCAGCAGUGG